GAAAACCUCUCAUCAAUAAAUUUGGUCUGAAACCCAUAUUUGUUGAUGGAUGAUGAGUGUUGCCGUUAUUGGCUCACUUUAAAUUCAUAAGUUGGUUCAUUUACUGUUUGUGGAAUGACUUAAUGUGAUAAAUAUCUUCAUUAAGGAUUGCAAUAUUUUGCUACCACAUUUUAAUGUUCAUGAAUAGCUUCUAACCAAAUGAAUAAUCUGGUUAACCCCAGAGUAUCAUUCUUGAUU
RNAcentral lists this unclassified non-coding RNA (237 nucleotides) under Phakopsora euvitis. RNAcentral's name for it is "ITS2". The record is from RNAcentral. Lineage: Eukaryota; Fungi; Basidiomycota; Pucciniomycetes; Pucciniales; Phakopsoraceae.